UGACUCCACAUGAUACCCAAGAAUAUUCACCAGAGAAGAGCAUAAAACAUAUAUUUCACAAAUUGAUAAAUGGGAAAUAUAGAAGUUGUGAUCUUGACUAUUUACAACAAAAGAAAAUAUGGAAAACCACAAGUGAGAGUGAACACCAGAAAUCAUAUAAAAAAUCAGGCCUUGUUCACCACCAGUGAAUUUAUACUGGAGAGAAGCCCUACAAAUAUAAAAAAUGUGGCAAAGCUUUUAGUAGAAUAAAUGAUCUUAUUAACCACAGAUUAACCCACACUGGACAGAUGCCCUACCAAUGGGCAGAAUGUGAUAAAGCUUAUAAAGAAAAAUCAAUCUUUAUUAAGCAAAGCAGAAAUCACACUGAAGAGAAGCCCUACAAAUGUGAAGAAUAUGGUAAAGUUUUUAGUCAAAAAUUGAACAUUAUUUACCAAAGAAGAAUUCACACUGGAGAAAAGCUCUACAAAUGUAGAGAAUGUGGCAAAGCUUUUAGUCAAAAAACAGACCUUAUUCACCACAGAAGAACUCACACUGGAGAGAAGCCCUACAAAUGUAAAGAAUGUGGCAAAGAUUUCAGUCAUAAAUCACUCCUUAUUCGCCACAGCAGAACUCACACUGGAGAGAAGCCCUACAAAUGUAAAGAAUGUAGCAAUGCCUUUAGUCAAAAAUCAGACGUUAUUCACCACAGCAGAACUCACAGUGGAGAGAAGCCCUAAAAAUGUAAAGAAUGUGGCAAAGCUUUCAGUAGAAAUGUAGGACUUAAUUACCACAGCAGAACUCACACUGGAGAGAAUCCCUACAAAUGUAAAGAUUGUGGCAAAGCUUUCAGAAUAAAAGAAGGACUUACUUACCACAGGAGAACUCACACUGGAGAGAAGCCGUACAAAUGUAAAGAAUGUGGCAAAGCUUUCAGUAAAAAAUCAGACCUUAUUUGCCACAGCAGAACUCACACUGGAGAGAAGCCCUAAAAUGUAAAGAAUGUGGCAAAGAUUUCAGUCAAAAAGCACACCUUAUUUGCCACAGUAGAACUCACACUGGAUAGAAGCCCUACAAAUGUAAAGAAUGUGGCAAAGCUUUUAGUCGAAAAUCACACCUUAUUUGCCACAGUAGAACUCAC
This 1117-nucleotide long non-coding RNA is filed under the name Marmota monax (woodchuck). The record is from RNAcentral. Lineage: Eukaryota; Metazoa; Chordata; Mammalia; Rodentia; Sciuridae.